UACGGAGGAUGCAAGCGUUAUCCGGAUUUAUUGGGUUUAAAGGGUGCGCAGGUGGUUUAAUAAGUCAGUGGUGAAAGUCUGCCGCUUAACGGUAGGAUUGCCAUUGAUACUGUUGGACUUGAAUAUGGAUGAGGUAGGCGGAAUGUGUAGUGUAGCGGUGAAAUGCUUAGAUAUUACACAGAACACCGAUUGCGAAGGCAGCUUACUAAUCCAUGAUUGACGCUGAGGCACGAAAGCGUGGGGAUCAAACAGGAUUAGA
Molecule: ribosomal RNA, 259 nt
Filed under: uncultured prokaryote
Description: partial 16S ribosomal RNA
Rfam family: Bacterial small subunit ribosomal RNA
Source: RNAcentral